Molecule: ribosomal RNA, 253 nt
Filed under: uncultured bacterium
Lineage: Bacteria
Description: partial 16S ribosomal RNA
Rfam family: Bacterial small subunit ribosomal RNA
Source: RNAcentral
UACAGAGGCCCCAAGCGUUACUGAGAAUCACUGGGUUUAAAGGGUGCGUAGGUGGUCCGUUAAGUUCGUUGUGAAAGCCCUGGGCUCAACCCAGGAACUGCUUCGAAUACUGGCGGACUUGAGGCUAGUAGGGGUUACUGGAACUGACGGUGGAGCGGUGAAAUGCGUAGAUAUCGUCAGGAACGCCAAUGGUGAAAACAGGUAGCUGGGAGUGUGCCGACGCUGAGACACGAAAGCCAGGGGAGCGAACGGG